RNAcentral lists this ribosomal RNA (253 nucleotides) under Acidobacterium sp. RNAcentral describes it as "partial 16S ribosomal RNA". It matches the Rfam family "Bacterial small subunit ribosomal RNA", at positions 524 to 776 of the family's 1533-position model. The record is from RNAcentral. Lineage: Bacteria; Pseudomonadati; Acidobacteriota; Terriglobia; Terriglobales; Acidobacteriaceae. RNAcentral also lists the same sequence under 2 other names.
UACGUAGGCAGCGAGCGUUGUUCGGAGUUACUGGGCGUAAAGAGUGCGUAGGUGGUUCUCUAAGUUUGGUGUGAAAUCUCCCGGCUCAACUGGGAGGGUGCGCCGAAAACUGGAGGACUAGAGUGUGGGAGAGGAAAGCGGAAUUCCUGGUGUAGCGGUGAAAUGCGUAGAUAUCAGGAGGAACACCUGCGGUGUAGACGGCUUUCUGGACCACUACUGACACUGAGGCACGAAAGCGUGGGGAGCAAACAGG